UUUUACCCGCUGAAUUUAAGCAUAUAAUUAAGCGGAGGAAAAGAAACUAACUAGGAUUCCCUCAGUAAGGGCGACUGAAGCGGGAAAUGCUCACCGUGUGAAUCUGUACAGACUUGUUCUGUGCCGAAUUGUGGUCUGUAGAAGCAAUGUAUGUCUCGUCUCGGGCCAAGUCCUUUGGAAAAAGGCAGCAGAGAGGGUGAGACUCCCGUUCUUGCCUGAGAUUUGUGACAAUACUCAUGCCUUCAACGAGUCGAGUUGUUUGGGAUUGCAGCUCAAAGUGGGUGGUAAAUUCCAUCUAAAGCUAAAUAUUGGUGGGAGACCGAUAGCGAACAAGUACCGUGAGGGAAAGAUGAAAAGAACUUUGAAAAGAGAGUUAAAGAGUACCUGAAAUUGCUGAAAGGGAAGCAAAGGAAACCAGUGUUAUCUUGAUUCAUCUUUCUUCUGUUGCUUGCAACAGGAGCGCUGUGAGUCAUGAUAGGUCAACCUGGGUUUGAGCCGGUGCAAACGCUUGCUACACUGACUUGGACCUACGCUGGCGAAAUGGUUUUCUUUACCCCGUCUUGAAACACGGACCAAGGA
RNAcentral lists this ribosomal RNA (579 nucleotides) under Chaetoceros sp. RNAcentral's name for it is "partial large subunit ribosomal RNA". It matches the Rfam family "Eukaryotic large subunit ribosomal RNA", at positions 21 to 672 of the family's 3401-position model. The record is from RNAcentral. Lineage: Eukaryota; Bacillariophyta; Thalassiosirophyceae; Chaetocerotales; Chaetocerotaceae.